UACAAAUUAAUAAAACAACACUUAAUUCAACUACAAAAUCAUGGAAAACUAACAUGAGUGUGAUAAACGUUCGAUAAUCUAAAGGAAUGACUAAAAUUUAUUCAGAAAUACUAACUGGAAUGCAAAGAAUUCUACUACUAACAGCAGAUUACUAGAAACUGUACUAAAUCUUAAGAAUCAUAUACCACAAAAGUUACUUGGCAGCAACAGCUUCAACUGGACCACAGACUACCGAAAUGUCUACUAAAGAAACC
This is a long non-coding RNA of Leguminivora glycinivorella, 254 nucleotides long. RefSeq lists it as uncharacterized. The transcript is spliced from 2 exons. The record is from RefSeq and is a predicted model, not a curated record. NCBI's taxonomy places the organism in Eukaryota, Metazoa, Arthropoda, Insecta, Lepidoptera, Tortricidae.